RNAcentral lists this ribosomal RNA (499 nucleotides) under uncultured bacterium. Its description in RNAcentral is "partial 16S ribosomal RNA". It matches the Rfam family "Bacterial small subunit ribosomal RNA", at positions 28 to 507 of the family's 1533-position model. The record is from RNAcentral.
GACGAACGCUGGCGGCGUGCUUAACACAUGCAAGUCGAACGGGCCCGCCCCUGUUUUUGGGGGUGGGUUGAGUGGCGAACGGGUGAGUAUCACGUGAGUAACCUGCCCCCUGCUCCUGGAUAACUGCUUGAAAGGGCGGCUAAUACGGGGUGUGCCGGCUGGUCCGCAUGGGCCUGGUCGGGAUAGUUUCAUCUUCGGGUGUUUCGGUGGGGGAUGGGCUCGCGGCCUAUCAGCUUGUUGGUGGGGUGAUGGCCCACCAAGGCGGUGACGGGUAGCCGGCCUGAGAGGGUGGGCGGCCACACUGGGACUGAGACACGGCCCAGACUCCUGCGGGAGGCAGCAGUGGGGGGUAUUGCACAAUGGGCGGAAGCCAGAUGCAGCGACGUCGCGUGAGGGAUGGAGGCCUUCGGGUUGUGAACCUCUUUCUCCGGUGGUGAAGGCCCUGUCCGUUGCGGCGGGGUUGACGGUAGCCGGGGAUGAAGCGCCGGCUAACUACGUG